UGAGGAAUAUUGGACAAUGGGCGCAAGCCUGAUCCAGCCAUGCCGCGUGCAGGAUGACGGUCCUAUGGAUUGUAAACUGCUUUUAUACAGGAAGAAACACUCGGACGAGUCCGAACUUGACGGUACUGUAAGAAUAAGGAUCGGCUAACUCCGUG
RNAcentral lists this ribosomal RNA (155 nucleotides) under uncultured bacterium. Its description in RNAcentral is "partial 16S ribosomal RNA". It matches the Rfam family "Bacterial small subunit ribosomal RNA", at positions 355 to 507 of the family's 1533-position model. The record is from RNAcentral.